This is a long non-coding RNA of Vidua macroura (Pin-tailed whydah), 351 nucleotides long. RefSeq lists it as uncharacterized. The transcript is spliced from 4 exons. The record is from RefSeq and is a predicted model, not a curated record. NCBI's taxonomy places the organism in Eukaryota, Metazoa, Chordata, Aves, Passeriformes, Viduidae.
UGCAGCUUGAGGCUCUGUCCUCUCAUUCUGUCACUUAUUUUCUGACACCCAGCUGGCUACAACCUCUCUUGCAGGUCUGGCAGCUCCAGACAAAGUUUAUUAGAGAAGCCCUCCUGUUGAGUCACGAGGCAGUUGUAGAGAGUGAUAAAGUGUUCCCUGAGGCUUCUCCUCUCCCCCUCAACUGAUGCCUCUGGACCUAUCCAACAACAUACAACAUACCUGAUUGUGGGUGCUGUUGGCCACAAAAGAGAAUUUCAAAGUCUUUAUACUCCAAAGUUGUAAAUCCAUUAUGAUAAGUGUGGCCUGAGAAACACUAUCCAGCCUGGCUAUUGAUCUUCAAGCAAAAUGACC